Astatotilapia calliptera (eastern happy) is the source of this 2270-nucleotide long non-coding RNA. The record is from Ensembl. NCBI's taxonomy places the organism in Eukaryota, Metazoa, Chordata, Actinopteri, Cichliformes, Cichlidae.
AAGAAAACAUGUUAACUUGAUGCUUUUUUCUUUCUGUCUGCCUGGUGUGCAAACAACUAAAGAAUCUUUGUAAAACAAUGUCACAACAUAAUUGUAACUAACAUGUCACUGUGUUACUGAAAAAUUUAAUGUGAUUACAGAAACACAUUACACUGAACACUGCAUGGGACUAGCAGGCCUUGGUGAACGACGACAACAACAAGUUGGAAAAAUGAAAGUGGGGUGACAACUGCGAGUCCCCUUUCUGCCUCCCCUCCAGGGCCAGUGUGAAGUUUUCAGUUUGAUUGAAGGCCUCUUUUCUGUGGUGUGCAGUGUGAAAGCUGUCCUAAUUGAAUGAUAAAGUGCCCCGAGAUGGAGUCCACUGAAUAGCCAACAAUGGCCAGCCUGUGUGUGGUAGAGGGAUUUUGGUUCACAUCCAGCCUCUGCCUCUCUGCUCCGAGAGGGGGCCUAUUAUAAUACUCUCUGCUGGACUCGGUCACGUGAUACUGCCUUGCUCCCUGCUACUCACCCCCUCCUCCCUUUUUGUCCCCCCCCCCCCAAUCUCAUCUCCUCCCUGUUCCAGUGUGGCCUGGCCAAUCCGGUCACAUCAUCGUCCUCUUCUUCACCCUGCUGGUUUGGUUGGAUGGUCUCAUUUUACCAGCGAGUGAAUCUCUUUGUGUGUGUGUGUGUGUGUGUGUGUGUGUGUGUAUACUGUACGUAUCUAUUAACUCAAAAUGUCCUCAGGCCUGUGCAUCCAUCCACUGCUGUCAGGUUACCAGGGUGAUAUAGAAAAACUCUAUGACAAAACAGAAGUGAAAGCAAGCACUAGAUUUCAAAGUGACUCAUCUUAUUGAUCUAAGUUGAAACCUUUCAACCACAGAGUGUUUGACAGUUUUAGGGUUGCCAAAAAGUUUGGAUAUUUAUAAAGACAUAUAACAAAUUUGAGAAUGCUGCCCAAAGACUUCUGAAUAUUCAAGAACGCCAAGUCACUUCCCAUAUGGAAAAGAUAUAAAUCUUAUAAAGUUUGUAUCUGUCUUGUGUGGAACUUGUUUGAAAAGCAUACAAGAGUGAAAACAGAUAUAAAAUCCCUUGAAAAAUUAUAUAAAUGAAACUUGUAUGUUUUGGAUACUUAUUAAAACAAUAUAUGAAAGUAAUGAGAAAGUGCCAACUUUCAUGAGUAAAUCAUAUAAGCCUUAUAUGAUUCACUAUAUGAAGUAAGCCAAAUCUUAUGCAAGUCUUUUAUAAGUUUUUUUCUAUUUCUUCUCCAUAUGGGUUGACUUGGGCAGCUUAAAAGUGGAUGCUCACAAUUUCAUUGAGAGAGAAUGAUGUGCAGUGACACUGGCACCAGCUUCUAUUUCGAUAGAAAGGACAUCUGUGUAUCUAUUUAGCUAGCUAUCUGCAUUUACUUUUUUUUGUUUCAACUUUUGUAUGACUGUAAGAAAUUCAUUAUGAACAACUUUUCUACAGAAUUUCUUGCACAGCCUCUUGAUAUCAAUAGCCUUCAGUCACUGUAGCAUUCCAGCCAGACUUUAUUCAGACGAUGCACUCAAUGAUCAUUACGGAUGGACCAUAAUUCACAGAAAAGGCACAGGAUCAGCCUGCUAGAUCACUCAGAAACUUGUUAACAAUCAAGUAAUACAUUUACAAAUUGUCCGAAAUUUAAACAACAAGUACAAUACACAAACAUACCUGUUCGCCUUCCAGCUAGAUGCUAAUUUAAAGAUGGAUGGAAAACAAUAAGUUUCUCAUUAACCUUUUCUGUGGCAAGCAGUAGCAGUUCGAUCUUCCUUCCCGGAAGUUGCCCGUUCCGAAUUUCAAAAUAAGAGUCUAAUCUAUAUUAUAAGGUAUAAUUUGUUCAGGGAUUUAAGUGUUUGAAAAAAUAUCAAAUAAACAAAUAAUCUGGGUCAUUUACAGUCACCACAACCAACCACUUUUUAUACACACAUUAAAGUUUCACUUGUGGUCUGACUAUGCUUCUGUCUAUGUAAGAGUUUGUCAUAAAUCCUUAACUGACUAGCCAGCAUGCAUUAGUGUCUUAUACUACAUCUGCUAUUUUUUUGGGAUUAAUUUUUGCCAUGAAGUGCUUGUUUUGUGUUCUGUUAUGAAUAAGUUCAUUUAAGUGGUGAAAUUUCAACUGUUGCCAAAAGGCCGAGAUGGCAGAAAGGUGACCUUUGAUCAUCAAGAUCUGUCUAGAGGAAGUAAAAGACAUAAACAUUUUCAGUAUGUGGACCUAUGGAAAGACCCUUGGUUGCCUUCAAGUGCCACUUUUGGUUUUGAUUGACUCGACUCUU